GACGAACGCUGGCGGCGUGCCUAAUACAUGCAAGUCGAGCGAUGAAGCUUGGUGCUUGCACCGAUUUGAAGAGCAGCGGACGGGUGAGUAACGAGUGGGGAGUCUGCCUUUGAGCGGGGGACAACAUUUGGAAACGAAUGUUCAUACCGCAUAACAACAUUAAACAUAAGUUUUAAGUUUGAAAGAUGCAAUUGCAUCACUCAAGGAUGAUACCGCGUUGUUUUAGCUAGAUGGUGCGGCAAAGGCUCACCAAGGCGAUGAUACAUAGCCGACCUGCGAGGGUGGGUGGCCAGCCUGGGAGGGUGACAGGGCCCAAAGGGCUUCGGGAGGGAGCAGUAGGGCAUCUUGGGCAAGCGACGAAAGUCUGAGCGAGCAACGCCGCGUGCGUGUAGAAGGUUUUCGGGUCGGAAAACUCGGUUUGUAGAGAAGAAAGCUGGUGAGGGUGGAAAGCACAUAAAGUGACGGUAACUACACAGAAAGCGACGGCUAACUACGUG
RNAcentral lists this ribosomal RNA (497 nucleotides) under uncultured bacterium. Its description in RNAcentral is "partial 16S ribosomal RNA". It matches the Rfam family "Bacterial small subunit ribosomal RNA", at positions 28 to 507 of the family's 1533-position model. The record is from RNAcentral.